This 94-nucleotide long non-coding RNA is filed under the name Mus caroli (Ryukyu mouse). Its description in RNAcentral is "sRNA (MGP_CAROLIEiJ_G0008441.1)". It matches the Rfam family "Pvt1 oncogene conserved region 3". The record is from RNAcentral. Lineage: Eukaryota; Metazoa; Chordata; Mammalia; Rodentia; Muridae.
UCCAUCAGCAGGCUGUGCUUGCAGAUGUCCUGGGGCCUCUCUGGAGACUUCCCAAACCCUGUGGAUUUACAGUAAGAUGCAGUUUCCUGGGGAG